RNAcentral lists this ribosomal RNA (423 nucleotides) under Triticum aestivum (bread wheat). RNAcentral describes it as "partial small subunit ribosomal RNA". The record is from RNAcentral. Lineage: Eukaryota; Viridiplantae; Streptophyta; Magnoliopsida; Poales; Poaceae.
AUGGAACCCUAUGAGAUAGCUACUCCAUGUCUUGAUCUCCCAUGGAUUUUAUUAGACGACCUUAAUGAAAUACAGUUCUUGACUGAGAAAGAAGGAGGGAAUCCAUGCCCAUCUCAGUAUAUGCAAGCCUUCCAAAGUGUUAUCAUUGAUUGCGAGAUGCACGGCUUGGGGUUUAUUGGGGACACCUUCACAUGGCAUAGAUGGCGAACAAGAGAGAGGUUGGAUAGGGGACUUGUUAAUGAUGAAUGGAAGACACUCUUCCCCAAUGCAGCAUUGGAAAAUAUGGAUUACAAUCAUUCUUAUUAUCGACCAUUGUGUGUAAAUAUUGAAUAUUAUAACCAACCCGAAGCCCUAAACAAUGGACAACAAAACACGUUUGAGCCAAGGUGGUUAAGCGAAGAGAGCUUUAACGCGGCUGUGUGA